This 217-nucleotide unclassified non-coding RNA is filed under the name Hevea brasiliensis (rubber tree). Lineage: Eukaryota; Viridiplantae; Streptophyta; Magnoliopsida; Malpighiales; Euphorbiaceae. The record is from RNAcentral.
UUUUUUUUUUCGUCAUCAUCAUCAGAAAUUCUUGAGCAGCUUUCUGACCUGUUCCAAGGUCACAAAGAGCACAAUCGUAAACGGCCCUUGCCUUGAAAUCGUUGGUAUAAAUCCCUUGUACAGCGCCAUCGGCCCCUCUGCCUUCACCGUCUUCACUGCGCAAUCCAACGCCCCUGCAUACGGUGCCGCCUCCCCUGCCUCCACCUUCAUGUUCAUC